UGAGUAACCUGCCCUGGACUUUGGGAUAACCCUCGGAAAACGGGGGCUAAUACCGGAUAUGACACGCGAAUGCAUGUUCUGUGUGUGGAAAGAUUUUUUGGUCUGGGAUGGGCUCGCGGCCUAUCAGCUUGUUGGUGGGGUGAUAGCCUACCAAGGCGACGACGGGUAGCCGGCCUGAGAGGGCGACCGGCCACACUGGGACUGAGACACGGCCCAGACCUCCGUACGGGAGCA
RNAcentral lists this ribosomal RNA (234 nucleotides) under uncultured bacterium. RNAcentral's name for it is "partial 16S ribosomal RNA". It matches the Rfam family "Bacterial small subunit ribosomal RNA", at positions 118 to 347 of the family's 1533-position model. The record is from RNAcentral.